UUUAAAAAAAUUUAUUUUUUGGUUAAAUAAGAUUAAUCAAAUUUUGAUUUAUUUAAU
RNAcentral lists this transfer RNA (57 nucleotides) under Meloidogyne exigua. Its description in RNAcentral is "tRNA-Pro". Lineage: Eukaryota; Metazoa; Nematoda; Chromadorea; Rhabditida; Meloidogynidae. The record is from RNAcentral.